RNAcentral lists this ribosomal RNA (254 nucleotides) under uncultured bacterium. RNAcentral's name for it is "partial 16S ribosomal RNA". It matches the Rfam family "Bacterial small subunit ribosomal RNA", at positions 524 to 776 of the family's 1533-position model. The record is from RNAcentral.
UACGGGGGGGGGCAAGCGUUGUUCGGAAUUACUGGGCGUAAAGGGCUCGUAGGUGGCCAACUAAGUCAGACGUGAAAUCCCUCGGCUUAACCGGGGAACUGCGUCUGAUACUGGAUGGCUUGAGUUUGGGAGAGGGACACGGAAUUCCAGGUGUAGCGGUGAAAUGCGUAGAUAUCUGGAGGAACACCGGUGGCGAAGGCGGCGUCCUGGACCAACACUGACACUGAGGAGCGAAAGCCAGGGGAGCAAACGGG